GUGAGGAAUAUUGGUCAAUGGGCGGGAGCCUGAACCAGCCAAGUCGCGUGAAGGAAGAAGGAUCUAUGGUUCGUAAACUUCUUUUGCAGGGGAAUAAAGUGCAGGACGUGUCCUGUUUUGUAUGUACCCUGAGAAUAAGGAUCGGCUAACUCCGUGCCAGCAGCCGCGGUAAUACGGAGGAUCCGAGCGUUAUCAGGAUUUAUUGGGUUUAAAGGGUGCGUAGGUGGUUUGAUAAGUCAGCGGUGAAAGUUUGCAGCUUAACUGUAAAAAUGCCGUUGAAACUGUCGGACUUGAGUGUAAAUGAGGUAGGCGGAAUGCGUGGUGUAGCGGUGAAAUGCAUAGAUAUCACGCAGAACUCCGAUUGCGAAGGCAGCUUACUAAGCUACAACUGACACUGAAGCACGAAAGCGUGGGGAUCAAACAGGAUUAGAUACCCUAGUAGUCC
Molecule: ribosomal RNA, 445 nt
Filed under: uncultured bacterium
Lineage: Bacteria
Description: partial 16S ribosomal RNA
Rfam family: Bacterial small subunit ribosomal RNA
Source: RNAcentral